GAUGAAGAACGCAGCGAAAUGCGAUAAGUAAUGUGAAUUGCAGAAUUCAGUGAAUCAUCGAAUCUUUGAACGCACAUUGCGCCCCCUGGUAUUCCGGGGGGCAUGCCUGUUCGAGCGUCAUUUCACCACUCAAGCCUCGCUUGGUAUUGGGCAACGCGGUCCGCCGCGUGCCUCAAAUCGACCGGCUGGGUCUUCUGUCCCCUAAGCGUUGUGGAAACUAUUCGCUAAAGGGUGUUCGGGAGGCUACGCCGUAAAACAACCCCAUUUCUAAGGUUGACCUCGAAUCAGGUAGGGAUACCCGCUGAACUUAAGCAUAUCAAUAAGCGGAGGA
This 331-nucleotide unclassified non-coding RNA is filed under the name soil metagenome. RNAcentral describes it as "partial contains 5.8S ribosomal RNA, internal transcribed spacer 2, and large subunit ribosomal RNA". The stretch from base 1 to 120 matches the Rfam family "5.8S ribosomal RNA", at positions 35 to 154 of the family's 154-position model. The record is from RNAcentral.